Molecule: ribosomal RNA, 490 nt
Filed under: uncultured bacterium
Lineage: Bacteria
Description: partial 16S ribosomal RNA
Rfam family: Bacterial small subunit ribosomal RNA
Source: RNAcentral
GUGAACGCUGGCGGUAGGCCUAACACAUGCAAGUCGAACGGCAGCACAGUAAGAGCUUGCUCUUACGGGUGGCGAGUGGCGGACGGGCGAGGAAUACAUCGGAAUCUACUUUUUCGUGGGGGAUAACGUAGGGAAACUUACGCUAAUACCGCAUACGACCUACGGGUGAAAGCAGGGGAUCUUCGUACCUUGCGCGAUUGAAUGAGCCGAUGUCGGAUUAGCUAGUUGGCGGGGUAAAGGCCCACCAAGGCGACGAUCCGUAGCUGGUCUGAGAGGAUGAUCAGCCACACUGAAACUGAGACACGGUCCAGACUCCUAGGGGAGGCAGCAGUGGGGAAUAUUGGACAAUGGGCGCAAGCCUGAUCCAGCCAUACCGCGUGGGUGAAGAAGGCCUUCGGGUUGUAAAGCCCUUUUGUUGGGAAAGAAAAGCAGCAGGUUAAUACCCCGCUGUUCUGACGGUACCCAAAGAAUAAGCACCGGCUAACUUCGU